Molecule: long non-coding RNA, 416 nt
Filed under: Rattus norvegicus (Norway rat)
Lineage: Eukaryota; Metazoa; Chordata; Mammalia; Rodentia; Muridae
Description: long non-coding RNA NONRATT026423
Source: RNAcentral
GUGCUUUCUGAUGCAUCUCUGUAAGGAAAAGGAGCAACUGAAGGUCCUCCAGACUGCCGAUCUGACCUUGUCUCCCACGUGCACUCGGGUGGACAUAAAGACAGCGCUGCUUUAUGGAAGCAGGAAGCGUCCAUAUGGAGUCCCUGCAGUGUGUGCACGUGCUGCCUGGUGGGUAUGUGGAUAUGUGGAAGUCGACAACCUUCCUACCCACUUUGCAUCCAUGUGCUCAAUCCUCAGGAACUGCCUUCCCACAUUCAGGCUUCCCCACACCAUGUACACUCUCUGUACAGUCUCUGUGAUUGGGUAAUGUUUGGGCUUCCCCACACCAUGUACACUGGACAAUCUCUGUGAUCGGGUAAUGUUUGGGGUUCUGGGCACUUUUUGGAGAACAUAUAAAAUGCAAGGGUUCCCAAGAG